This 213-nucleotide long non-coding RNA is filed under the name Lathyrus oleraceus (garden pea). Its description in RNAcentral is "Pisum sativum (pea) long non-coding RNA (PSAT_LNC002445)". The record is from RNAcentral. Lineage: Eukaryota; Viridiplantae; Streptophyta; Magnoliopsida; Fabales; Fabaceae.
UUCUGACGAAAUGACGACUGAUGAACCAGAAAGUCUUGUCAGGAUGCAGUUACUUGCCAAAUCCCUAAUUUUGCCUAGAUUGCCCCAGAGUGAGGUACUCAAUCUAGCGGGAUGCAAAUAUAUUUUUUUUUAAAGUCUCUAAUUUUUGCCUGAAUUACCCUUGCGGGUUCUCCACCGAGACGCUCAUUUUUGCCUAAGCCGCCCUUUCGGGUU